Molecule: long non-coding RNA, 498 nt
Organism: Lacerta agilis (Sand lizard)
Lineage: Eukaryota; Metazoa; Chordata; Lepidosauria; Squamata; Lacertidae
Exons: 3
Source: RefSeq, a predicted model, not a curated record
GUCGGAGAAGCUAUGUUGAACUCCAGGUCCCAUCAACCUGGCCAGCAGUCCAGGAUGAUGGGAACCAAAGUCCACAACAUCUGGUAACCCUGGAGCCCUGUUUGCAAUGAUGACAACAUGCCCUGUUCCAGGAAGACCACGUUGCCAUUUUCAGCUUUGCUAUGCAAUCUCCUACACCGGGAAGAGCUUUGUGUUGCCACCUCCAGGGUGCAGAGCUUAAUCAGCUCAGGAUUUAUUGAAGCGGAGAGGAAAUUCGCUACAACCUGAAACCUGCAUAGCACCCAAAAUAGCUCAUCUGAAUGCUUGCUAUCUUCUCCCAGACUCAAUCUUCCAUUCCAGAUGCAGACAUGGAUUGCUUGAACAUCAGCCUUUCUCACCUCAACCUGCCCCCCUGGCUUUGAGUUUGAGUUUUCAGCAUGCAACAUAUGUGCUCUACCAGAGUUACAGAUUCUUCCCCACUAUCCUUCCAGAAAUGGAAAUCUCUAUAGUCCUCAUUAA